RNAcentral lists this ribosomal RNA (435 nucleotides) under uncultured bacterium. RNAcentral's name for it is "partial 16S ribosomal RNA". It matches the Rfam family "Bacterial small subunit ribosomal RNA", at positions 29 to 506 of the family's 1533-position model. The record is from RNAcentral.
AGCGAACGCUGGCGGCAGGCUUAACACAUGCAAGUCGAGCGGGCAUCCUUGUGGUGUCAGCGGCAGACGGGUGAGUAACGCGUGGGAACGUGCCCUUCGGUUCGGAAUAACUCAGGGAAACUUGAGCUAAUACCGGAUACGCCCUUUUGGGGAAAGGUUUACUGCCGAAGGAUCGGCCCGCGUCUGAUUAGCUAGUUGGUGAGGUUAUGGCUCACCAAGGCGACGAUCAGUAGCUGGUCUGAGAGGAUGAUCAGCCACACUGGGACUGAGACACGGCCCAGACUCCGACGGGAGGCAGCAGUGGGGAAUAUUGGACAAUGGGGGCAACCCUGAUCCAGCCAUGCCGCGUGAGUGAUGACGGCCUUAGGGUUGUAAAGCUCUUUUCUCCGGGACGAUAAUGACGGUACCGGAGGAAUAAGCCCCGGCGAACUUCGU